RNAcentral lists this ribosomal RNA (326 nucleotides) under uncultured eukaryote. RNAcentral's name for it is "LSU rRNA". It matches the Rfam family "Bacterial large subunit ribosomal RNA", at positions 2154 to 2478 of the family's 2925-position model. The record is from RNAcentral.
GCUUUGAUUCCAUCGGCUUGCGGGUCGAUGUGAGCCAACGGUGGGAUACCACUCUUUGCGAGCUAGGGUUCUAACGGCCACCCGUCAUCCGGGGGCCGGACAGUACCUGGUGGGCAGUUUGACUGGGGCGGUCGCCUCCUAAAAGGUAACGGAGGCGCGCAAGGUUUGCUCAGGCUGGUUGGAAAUCAGCCGACGAGUGUAAAAACAGAAGCAAGCUUGACUGUGAGACCAACAAGUCGAACAGGGAGGAAACUCGGCUUUAGUGAUCCGACGGUUCUGAGUGGAAGGGCCGUCGCUCAACGGAUAAAAGUUACUCUAGGGAUAAC